This 580-nucleotide long non-coding RNA is filed under the name Betta splendens (Siamese fighting fish). RNAcentral's name for it is "lncRNA (ENSBSLG00000015590.1)". The record is from RNAcentral. Lineage: Eukaryota; Metazoa; Chordata; Actinopteri; Anabantiformes; Osphronemidae.
GCGCAGGCGUUUCAUAAGUCGUCUUUCUUUAUAUAUAUUUAUACUUUAUAUAAAUCUAAUUUCUAUGGGAUAAAACCGUCAUUAUCAUACAUCAUUCUUUUGCUGCUGUGUGGUGAGUCACCAACAGGAUCAAAGGUCGCUGAGAACUUCCCUAAGGAACGAACCUGCACUCUGCACUUAUCAGGGCGGCGGUUCGAGCUGGGCUGGAAGUGGCUGAGCAGAUAAACGCCCAGACGCCUGUGUGUGAGGCCGAGGCGGCUGCAGAGGGAUCGCUGUGUUUCCUGAUCCAGCAGAGACGUCUCAGACCCAACCCAGGUCCACUCCACAGCGGAUGUGCCUCUUCGCUGGGCCCUGGCAUUCUCCGGUUACUGAGUGCGCACGCAGACAGGACACAGUGAGGCUCACUCUGCUCAGGGCAGUGAUCAGAAUCACUCAGAGUCCAGAGACCGGGUCGGACCGGGUCAGAGCGGGGCCACGCGGCGUUUCCUCCAGCUCCUCACCGGCGCUGACGGCGCGUGAGAGCACAGCAGGAGGGCCUGAGGGCCGAGCGUUUCCUCACGCAGCCUCUGGACCCGGUGAG